UCGGUAGUGGGCGCUGAUUAACAUGAAUUGUGGAAACAACUUUCGGCGUGCCUUCUAACAAGCCGGAAUAUAUGUAUAUUUUCUGUAUCGUUCUGAUUAUGAAUGAAUAGUGAGUUGCGCACGAGUUAUUCAUACAUAUAAGGUUUACGUUGUGUCGAGAAAGAAGAAGAAGAGGGUGACGAAGAGGAACGAAAAUUGGCGAAGUUAAACGAGUGAUUGUGUUAGCGGUGUCUGUAUCCUUAAAACGUGAGAAGGUCGAAAUAUCCAGUAAAAUAUUAAGAAGCAGUGUAGUGGCAGACGAAGCAAAUGAAGUUGUGAAGCUGUAGUACAUCUUAAGAAUUAAUAAAAUAAGAAUCGGCGAGGAGCCCUUCUACUAGGCGGGACUCAUAACCAAAAGGCGUUGCGGAAAAAUGGCUGCUGCCGCUGCUGCUGCGUUGCUCGAUGAGCUUAUGGGAAGAAAUAGGAAUGUUCUACCCAAUGAAAAGCCGAAAGAAUUAAACUGGGAGGAUCCUGAGUUUUGCAAGUUAUAUCUCGUAAAAUUUUGCCCUCAUGAUCUAUUCGUUAAUACGAGAGCGGAUUUGGGAGCUUGCUCCAGGGUACAUGAUGAUGAAGCUAGGGAUCUCUUCGAAAAAGCACCCUAUUCCUAUAGGAAGCAACAGUACGAGGAUGAAUUUAUACGGUUUUGCCAAAGUAUGCUUAAUGAGGUUGAGCGUAAGAUCAUAAAGGGAAAACAACGACUAGCACUGAUUGGAAGAACCGAAGCACCUACUCUAACACCAGCACAGACUCAGCGCAACGAAGAACAGAUUGCUCUGCUAACAGAAAAAAUUAAUAAGUUAGUGGAAGAGGCCGAACAAAGUGGUAUACAAGGAAAUGUUGAACAAGCACAAGGGUUGAUGCGUCUCUGUGAUCAACUGAAAGAAGAACGUGAAACAUUACGAAAAUCCAAUGAUAACAGUCACUAUAAUCAGACUGCUGAAUUAGCAGCAGCUCAAGAAAAACAAAUGGAAGUCUGUGACGUAUGUGGUGCAUUCCUCAUUGUCGGUGAUGCUCAACAGCGCAUAGAUGAUCAUUUAAUGGGAAAACAACACGUUGGAUAUGCCAGGCUGAAAAGUGCUCUGCAAGAAAUUAUGAACAAACGAGAGAAGGCAAGGGAUGAGAAAGAACAGAAAAGAGAUGAAGACAGAAAACAGAGAGCACGUGCGAAUGAGGAAAUAGAAAGACGUCGACAAGAGAGAGAUCGUGACAGAGAGCGGGACAGAGACAGAGAUCGUGAACGUGAAAGAGAUAAGCGUCGUAGACGUACCGACGAAGAAAAACCUAGGCACGAAUCAGCAAGUUACAGAAAUUCCGGACAUCGAAGUAAAAGCAGAUCGCGAGAAAGACACGACCGACAUAGAGAGGAAGACGGCCAUCGGCGACAUGCCAGGGAUAAGGUUAAUCGUGAUCACCGAAGCUCCAGUCACCAUAGCCGUCGUCGCCAACGGUCUAGAAGCCGAAGUCACAAGUAACUACUCUUGAUUGGUUAGUGAGUGAGAAGUGAGCCAGGUAUGCACUAAAGAAUAAACUUUUAACGUCUCAAUUACUAUACAGAUUCUUUAUCAGGUGAGUUUUAUAAAGUCGCACGUAAUUUACAUGAUAAUUUACUGUGGUACGCGACGGAAGACACUUUCAGAUUCUCAUUAGGUGACUUUUCAAUAGGUAUAACAUCUCAGACCUUUGUUCAAGCAUUAAGAAACAAUUCUUUUCCUUAAGGGAUAGAAGUAGUAUAGAUUUUCAGUGAUUCUAUAGCCAGCAUUCGAUUAUUCAGAUAUUAAAAAAGAAAAGUAUCUCUUUACAAUCAAUGGGUGGGAGGGUUUGCAAGACAGGAAAACAGCAAUGCAGGCAAUGAUUUGUCUUUAUACACAUCGGAGGGUAAAUUCGUAAUAAGAAAACUGUUCAAUGAAAGAUAUGUUCAUGCUGAAGUAUCAAAAAGAAACUUCUUUUCUAAACAAUGCAAUUAUUUCAAUAUAUACAUAUGUUACAUUCAUAUGUAUACGUUGAUAUAAUAGCAUUGUUAUAUUGAUAUGUUCAAGGGACACAUGUUACUCGUGCCAGCGUGCCAGACAAGUUACAUUUACUCUAACGCUUAGUAACUUAAAGAUAUUGUCCGUAGAGCAAGAUGGGAGAAGGUAUACCUAUACUUGCUUUGAUCGGUGUAAUAUCUUCGUAGGCUUAAAACACGGUAAACCAUUAUAUAAUUCCAACGACAGGAAAGUUCUUUUUGUCAAAAAGAAAUUAGUGAUAGUGUGGAGGAAUCAGUGCCUACUACCGUAGACCUGCCACGACAGUGCCCUGUGUGACUGUGACUAUACAAUCCUAGCUUCUGCUACGCAUUUAUGAGAGUCAAGAGAAGCGGAGGGAUGUGACUAUAAGACGGAGUAGAUACGUACACGCCGCUUAUUGUAAUCUUAAGGUAAAGAUUUUGCAUAAUCUUACAGAAAAAAAAACAAAUUCGAAAUUGAGGAACGCGUUUUAUACGAUGCUGGAUCGGUCGUAAGAUCGAUACGGCUGGCCAA
Molecule: RNA transcript, 2558 nt
Organism: Cephus cinctus (wheat stem sawfly)
Lineage: Eukaryota; Metazoa; Arthropoda; Insecta; Hymenoptera; Cephidae
Gene name: luc7-like protein 3
Exons: 8
Source: RefSeq, a predicted model, not a curated record